GCCCGAUGGCGUAGCGGAUAGCACACCUGCCUUCUGCGUAGACGGUCGUGGGUUCGAUUCCCGCCGGACA
Non-coding RNA from Phthorimaea operculella (potato tuberworm), 70 nucleotides. NCBI's taxonomy places the organism in Eukaryota, Metazoa, Arthropoda, Insecta, Lepidoptera, Gelechiidae. The record is from the annotation of a GenBank genome assembly.